This 253-nucleotide ribosomal RNA is filed under the name uncultured bacterium. RNAcentral describes it as "partial 16S ribosomal RNA". It matches the Rfam family "Bacterial small subunit ribosomal RNA", at positions 524 to 776 of the family's 1533-position model. The record is from RNAcentral.
UACGGAGGGUGCGAGCGUUGCCCGGAAUCACUGGGCGUAAAGGGCGCGUAGGCGGCCUGAUAAGUAGGGGGUGAAAUCCUGCGGCUUAACCGCAGGGCUGCCUUCUAAACUGUCGGGCUAGAGCACGGUAGAGGCAGAUGGAAUUCCCGGUGUAGCGGUGGAAUGCGUAGAGAUCGGGAAGAACAUCAGUGGCGAAGGCGGUCUGCUGGGCCGUUGCUGACGCUGAGGCGCGACAGCGUGCGGAGCAAACAGG